GAUGAAGAACGCAGCGAAAUGCGAUAAUUAAUGUGAAUUGCAGAAUUCAGUGAAUCAUCGAAUCUUUGAACGCACAUUGCGCCCUCUGGUAUUCCGGGGGGCAUGCCUGUUCGAGCGUCAUUAUAACCACUCAAGCUCUCGCUUGGUAUUGGGGUUCGCGGUUUCGCGGCCCCUAAAAUCAGUGGCGGUGCCUGUCGGCUCUACGCGUAGUAAUACUUCUCGCGAUUGAGUUCGAUAGGUCUACUUGCCAGUAACCCCCAAUUUUUACAGGUUGACCUCGGAUCAGGUAGGGAUACCCGCUGAACUUAAGCAUAUCAAUAAGCGGAGGA
This 329-nucleotide unclassified non-coding RNA is filed under the name soil metagenome. RNAcentral describes it as "partial contains 5.8S ribosomal RNA, internal transcribed spacer 2, and large subunit ribosomal RNA". The stretch from base 1 to 120 matches the Rfam family "5.8S ribosomal RNA", at positions 35 to 154 of the family's 154-position model. The record is from RNAcentral.